RNAcentral lists this ribosomal RNA (260 nucleotides) under uncultured archaeon. RNAcentral describes it as "partial 16S ribosomal RNA". It matches the Rfam family "Archaeal small subunit ribosomal RNA", at positions 748 to 1009 of the family's 1478-position model. The record is from RNAcentral.
CAGCCGUAAACUAUGCGCGUUAGGUGUAUCGGUGACCACGAGUCACCGAGGUGCCGAAGGGAAACCGUGAAACGUGCCGCCUGGGAAGUACGGUCGCAAGGCUGAAACUUAAAGGAUUGGCGGGGGAGCACCACAACGGGUGGAGCCUGCGGUUUAAUUGGACUCAACGCCGGACAACUCACCGGGGACGACAGCAAUAUGUAGGCCAGGCUGAAGACCUUGCCUGAAUCGCUGAGAGGAGGUGCAUGGCGUAGACGUCU